Molecule: non-coding RNA, 23 nt
Filed under: Cricetulus griseus (Chinese hamster)
Lineage: Eukaryota; Metazoa; Chordata; Mammalia; Rodentia; Cricetidae
Source: RNAcentral
AGGACAGGCAGACCUGGAGUUAA